GAUCUUCCUAAAGACUUAUAGAAGGCUGUUCCGAGAGCCUCAGCAUUCCAGGAUGCUGGAGACAUUUGAGUUUGCUUGGGCCAUGGGGAGGAAAAGGGGCAGGCCAAUAGGUACCGAGCCUCCAGUACAUGCCAAGGUGUGUUACCACACUCCCCAUUGCACAACAGUCCUUGUUGAAUUGACCCCACACGCUGUACACGGAGAAAAGAUGCAAAAAGCCAC
Molecule: long non-coding RNA, 222 nt
Filed under: Fukomys damarensis (Damara mole-rat)
Lineage: Eukaryota; Metazoa; Chordata; Mammalia; Rodentia; Bathyergidae
Description: lncRNA (ENSFDAG00000031661.1)
Source: RNAcentral